Molecule: ribosomal RNA, 414 nt
Filed under: Bombina variegata variegata
Lineage: Eukaryota; Metazoa; Chordata; Amphibia; Anura; Bombinatoridae
Description: partial 12S ribosomal RNA
Rfam family: Bacterial small subunit ribosomal RNA
Source: RNAcentral
CUGGGAUUAGAUACCCCACUAUGCCUAACCUCAAACUAUGACUCAAUACAAAACACCAUCCGCCCGGGAACUACGAGCCCUAGCUUAAAACCCAAAGGACUUGGCGGUGCCCCACCCACCUAGAGGAGCCUGUUCUAUAAUCGAUAACCCCCGCUUAACCUCACCACUUCUUGCCAAUACCGCCUAUAUACCACCGUCGCCAGCCCACCCCGUGAGGGAACAGUAGGCACAAUGAUCAAUCAUCAAAACGUCAGGUCAAGGUGUAGCGUAUGAAGUGGGAAGAAAUGGGCUACAUUCUCUAACCUAGAGCACACGAAAAAUCAUAUGAAAUUAGAUUAGAAGGAGGAUUUAGUAGUAAAAAGAAACAAUAGUGUUCUUUUUAAGCUGGCCCUGGGGCGCGCACACACCGCCCGU